AGGAGCGUCUCGCAUCCCAGCCCUGUAAAUACUGACAGAGGAGAAGAGCUCGGCAUGGAGGUGGCGGGGACGCAGUUGGUGGAAAAGGACAUCGAGAACUUGGCCCGAGACGAACUGCAAAAACUCGUCCUGGAGCAAAUGGAGCUGAGGAAGAAAUUGGAGAGGGACUUCCAGAGUCUGAAAGGUACCGGGGGAGCCCCUCCUUGCGGCCGGGGCCGGGCGGGG
Non-coding RNA from Meleagris gallopavo (turkey), 225 nucleotides. The record is from RefSeq and is a predicted model, not a curated record. Lineage: Eukaryota; Metazoa; Chordata; Aves; Galliformes; Phasianidae.